CCUACGGGAGACAGCAGUGAGGAAUAUUGGUCAAUGGGCGUAAGCCUGAACCAGCCAAGUCGCGUGAGGGAUGAAGGUUCUAUGGAUCGUAAACCUCUUGUAUAAGGGAAUAAAGUGUGGGACGUGUCCUGUUUUGUAUGUACCUUAUGAAUAAGGAUCGGCUAACUCCGUGCCCGCAGCCUCGGUAAUACGGAGGAUCCGAGCGUUAGCCGGCUUUAUUGGGUUUAAAGGGUGCGUAGGCGGCCGUUUAAGUCAGCGGUGAAAGUCUGUGGCGCAACCAUAGAAUUGCCGUGGAAACUGGGAGGCUUGAGUAUGUUAGAGGCAGGCGGAAUGCGUGGUGUAGCGGUGAAAUGCUUAGAUAUCACGCAGAACCCCGAUUGCGAAGGCAGCCUGCCAAGCCAUGACUGACGCUGAUGCAUGAAAGCGUGGGGAUCAAACAGGAUUAGAUACCUUUGUAGUC
This 460-nucleotide ribosomal RNA is filed under the name uncultured bacterium. RNAcentral's name for it is "partial 16S ribosomal RNA". It matches the Rfam family "Bacterial small subunit ribosomal RNA", at positions 338 to 795 of the family's 1533-position model. The record is from RNAcentral.